This 495-nucleotide ribosomal RNA is filed under the name uncultured bacterium. RNAcentral describes it as "partial 16S ribosomal RNA". It matches the Rfam family "Bacterial small subunit ribosomal RNA", at positions 28 to 523 of the family's 1533-position model. The record is from RNAcentral.
GAUGAACGCUGGCGGCGUGCUUAACACAUGCAAGUCGAGCGAAGCGAUUUUAAGGAAGCCUUCGGGUGGAAUUAAAAUUGACUUAGCGGCGGACGGGUGAGUAACGCGUGGGUAACCUGCCUCAUACAGGGGGAUAACAGUUAGAAAUGACUGCUAAUACCGCAUAAGCGCACAGUGCUGCAUAGCACAGUGUGAAAAACUCCGGUGGUAUGAGAUGGACCCGCGUCUGAUUAGGUAGUUGGUGGGGUAACGGCCCACCAAGCCGACGAUCAGUAGACGACCUGAGAGGGGGAGCGGCCACAUUGGGACUGAGACACGGCCCAAAGUCGUACGGGAGGCAGCAGUGGGGAAUAUUGGACAAUGGGGGAAACCCUGAUCCAGCGACGCCGCGUGACUGAAGAAGCAUUUCGGUAUGUAAAGGUCUAUCAGCAGGGAAGAAAAUGACGGUACCUGACUAAGGAGCCCCGGCUAACUACGUGCCAGCAGCCGCCGUAA